GACGAACGCUGGCGGCGUGCUUAACACAUGCAAGUCGAACGGAAAGGCCCUGCUUUUGUGGGGUGCUCGAGUGGCGAACGGGUGAGUAACACGUGAGUAACCUGCCCUUGACUUUGGGAUAACUUCAGGAAACUGGGGCUAAUACCGGAUAGGAGCUCCUGCUGCAUGGUGGGGGUUGGAAAGUUUCGGCGGUUGGGGAUGGACUCGCGGCUUAUCAGCUUGUUGGUGGGGUAGUGGCUUACCAAGGCUUUGACGGGUAGCCGGCCUGAGAGGGUGACCGGCCACAUUGGGACUGAGAUAGGGCCCAGACUCCUACGGGAGGCAGCAGUGGGAAAUAUUGCACAAUGGGCGGAAGCCUGAUGCAGCAACGCCGCGUGCGGGAUGACGGCCUUCGGGUUGUAAACCGCUUUCGCCUGUGACGAAGCGUGAGUGACGGUAAUGGGUAAAGAAGCACCGGCUAACUACGUG
RNAcentral lists this ribosomal RNA (468 nucleotides) under uncultured bacterium. Its description in RNAcentral is "partial 16S ribosomal RNA". It matches the Rfam family "Bacterial small subunit ribosomal RNA", at positions 28 to 507 of the family's 1533-position model. The record is from RNAcentral.